Molecule: long non-coding RNA, 248 nt
Organism: Tympanuchus pallidicinctus (lesser prairie-chicken)
Lineage: Eukaryota; Metazoa; Chordata; Aves; Galliformes; Phasianidae
Exons: 3
Source: RefSeq, a predicted model, not a curated record
AGGUGCUGGAGUGGAAAAAAAUGAGAAGCUGGCCAUGCACUGGUUCAGGCAGGCAGCAGGACAGGGCCACCCAUACUCCUCCUUCAACCUGGCACUGGGAGCUCUCAGCAACAUGACGGCAGCACUGGAGGAAAGGGAAGUGGAAAAACUCCUUGGUGUGGCUGCAGCCCAUGGGCUCCGAGAAGCUCAGGAACUUCUGGAGAACAUUCUCAAGAGCAGAAAGCUGCCCUGAAUAACUGCACCAGCCU